Molecule: ribosomal RNA, 253 nt
Filed under: uncultured bacterium
Lineage: Bacteria
Description: partial 16S ribosomal RNA
Rfam family: Bacterial small subunit ribosomal RNA
Source: RNAcentral
UACGUAGGGAGCAAGCGUUAUCCGGAUUUAUUGGGUGUGAAGGGUGCGUAGACGGGAAUGCAAGUUAGUUGUGAAAUCCCUCGGCUUAACUGAGGAACUGCAACUAAAACUACAUUUCUUGAGUGCUGGAGAGGAAAGUGGAAUUCCUAGUGUAGCGGUGAAAUGCGUAGAUAUUAGGAGGAACACCAGUGGCGAAGGCGACUUUCUGGACAGUAACUGACGUUGAGGCACGAAAGUGUGGGGAGCAAACAGG